This 254-nucleotide ribosomal RNA is filed under the name uncultured bacterium. RNAcentral describes it as "partial 16S ribosomal RNA". It matches the Rfam family "Bacterial small subunit ribosomal RNA", at positions 524 to 776 of the family's 1533-position model. The record is from RNAcentral.
UACGGAGGGGUGCGAGCGUUGUCCGGAUUUAUUGGGUUUAAAGGGUGCGUAGGUGGCUUUAUAAGUCAGUGGUGAAAUACAGCCGCUUAACGGUUGAGGUGCCAUUGAUACUGUAGAGCUUGAAACAAUUGGAGGCUGCCGGAAUGGAUGGUGUAGCGGUGAAAUGCAUAGAUAUCAUCCAGAACACCGAUUGCGAAGGCAGGUGGCUACGUUUGAUUUGACACUGAGGCACGAAAGCAUGGGGAGCAAACAGG